RNAcentral lists this ribosomal RNA (301 nucleotides) under uncultured bacterium. Its description in RNAcentral is "partial 16S ribosomal RNA". It matches the Rfam family "Bacterial small subunit ribosomal RNA", at positions 509 to 807 of the family's 1533-position model. The record is from RNAcentral.
CAGUCGCCGCGGGAAAACGGAGGGGGCUAGCGUUGUUCGGAAUUACUGGGCGUAAAGCGCACGUAGGCGGCUUGGUAAGUUAGAGGUGAAAGCCCGGAGCUCAACUCCGGAAUUGCCUUUAAGACUGCCGAGCUAGUAGGUGAGAGAGGUAAGUGGAAUUCCGAGUGUAGAGGUGAAAUUCGUAGAGGUCGGGAGGAACAUCAGUGGCGAAGGCGGCCAUCUGGGACAACACUGACGCUGAGGCACGAAAGCGUGGGGAGCAAACAGGAUUAGAUACCCGCGUAGUCCCUGUCUCUUAUAC